CCUACGGGAGGCAGCAGUGGGGAAUAUUGGGCAAUGGGCGAAAGCCUGACCCAGCAACGCCGCGUGAAGGAAGAAGGCUUUCGGGUUGUAAACUUCUUUUGACAGGGAAGAGCAGAAGACGGUACCUGUCGAAUAAGCCACGGCUAACUACGUGCCAGCAGCCGCGGUAAUACGUAGGUGGCAAGCGUUGUCCGGAUUUACUGGGUGUAAAGGGCGUGUAGCCGGGCUGACAAGUCAGAUGUGAAAUCCGGGGGCUCAACCCCCGAACUGCAUUUGAAACUGUUGGUCGUGAGUAUCGGAGAGUCAGGGGGAGUUACUAGUGUAGCGGGGAGAGGCGGAGAGAGUAGGAGGAACACCAG
This 359-nucleotide ribosomal RNA is filed under the name uncultured bacterium. Its description in RNAcentral is "partial 16S ribosomal RNA". It matches the Rfam family "Bacterial small subunit ribosomal RNA", at positions 338 to 712 of the family's 1533-position model. The record is from RNAcentral.